AGUAACGCGUGAGGAACCUGCCUCAAAGAGGGGGACAACAGUUGGAAACGACUGCUAAUACCGCAUAAGCCCACGGCUCGGCAUCGAGCAGAGGGAAAAGGAGUGAUCCGCUUUGAGAUGGCCUCGCGUCCGAUUAGCUGGUUGGUGAGGUAAUGGCCCACCAAGGCGACGAUCGGUAGCCGGACUGAGAGGUUGAACGGCCACAUUGGGACUGAGACACGGCCCAG
Molecule: ribosomal RNA, 227 nt
Filed under: uncultured bacterium
Lineage: Bacteria
Description: partial 16S ribosomal RNA
Rfam family: Bacterial small subunit ribosomal RNA
Source: RNAcentral